ACUAAAAUAAGUCAAAAUUGUUAAACAUUAUGCACAAGACGAAGAUUUUAAUAAUUUAAAGUGAAAAGACAGGAAACAUAAUUACUAAUGAUUAUCGGUUUAUUUUUAAUGCCACUUCAUUCCACAAAAAGGUUUCAGAUAUCUUACAGAAAGACACACUAGAAAUAUUAAAAUACUAUCUGAACCAGAAGCAAAAUCAGGGUAAGCUAGCAGAAAGGCAUAUAAGCCAAAGGGCUCUACCCAGCUUUCAAAGCUGACCACGGCCGUGCGCAGUGGCUCUGUCUGUAAUCUCCGCACUUGGGGAGGCCGAGGAGGGAGGAUCGCUUGAGGCCACAAGUUCGAGACCAGCCUGGGCAACAGAGCAAGACCCUGCCUCUACAAAGGCGUGGCGUGGUGCGCAGGCGCGGUGUCCCCCACUACCGCCCCCCUUUGACCCGGGAGUGGUGCGCGGGCCCGGUUUCCCCCCAGCUCUACCCCGGUGUGGUGCGCAGGCGCAGUCUGCGCGGGGACUGCGGGACUGCGCGGCGGCGACUACAGACGUUUCGGGGGUCCGGGGCCUGUGGCGGCUGCUAAGCGCUCCGCGCCUGGCGCUGGCCAAGGCGUGGCCAACAGUGUUGCAAACAGGAACUCGAGGUUUUUCACUUCACUGUUGAAGGAACACGAGGGCAUCUGCUAAAGUUUCAGAUUCCAUUUCUGCUCAGUAUCCAGUAGUGGAUCAUGAAUUUGAUGCAGUGGUGGUACGCGCUGGAGGGGCAGGCUUGUGAGCUGCAUUUGGCCUUUCCGAGGCAGGGUUUAAUACAGCAUGUGUUACAAAGCUGUUUCCUACCAGGUCACACACUGUUGCAGCGCAGGUAAGAGAAAGGUGCCCCACUGUGCUCCCACUCCGUGCAGGUCCUGCACAGCCUCGCACUUUCUACCUGGGCAGCCUCCUGCCUCCUCC
This 940-nucleotide long non-coding RNA is filed under the name Pongo abelii (Sumatran orangutan). RNAcentral's name for it is "lncRNA (ENSPPYG00000036001.1)". Lineage: Eukaryota; Metazoa; Chordata; Mammalia; Primates; Hominidae. The record is from RNAcentral.